RNAcentral lists this ribosomal RNA (113 nucleotides) under Shigella sonnei. RNAcentral describes it as "partial 16S ribosomal RNA". It matches the Rfam family "Bacterial small subunit ribosomal RNA", at positions 1 to 104 of the family's 1533-position model. The record is from RNAcentral. Lineage: Bacteria; Pseudomonadati; Pseudomonadota; Gammaproteobacteria; Enterobacterales; Enterobacteriaceae.
UUAAAUUGAAGAGUUUGAUCAUGGCUCAGAUUGAACGCUGGCGGCAGGCCUAACACAUGCAAGUCGAACGGUAACAGGAAACAGCUUGCUGCUUCGCUGACGAGUGGCGGACG